This 370-nucleotide long non-coding RNA is filed under the name Cavia porcellus (domestic guinea pig). RNAcentral's name for it is "lncRNA (ENSCPOG00000035942.1)". Lineage: Eukaryota; Metazoa; Chordata; Mammalia; Rodentia; Caviidae. The record is from RNAcentral.
CGCGGAGUGUCGGUGAAGUCAGCGCCGAGUCUCAGAAAAACAGAGCGGGGCCAACUGCAGCGUGUAGUGCGAGCAGGGCAGGACACGCGCGCCGGCCCGCCCGGCGACCCGCGAGGAUUUCUCUAUUCAAUGAGUUUGUGAAGCCUCUCUGCUCAGAGCUCCAGGACCAAUGCAACUCCCCAGCAGCACCCUAAGCCACUGAAUACAUUCACCAAAGAAGACUCAUAAAGUAUAAAUGAAUGGACUGAGGAGGUUCAUGGACUCUCCUUCCAACCCAGUUGGAAAACCAUAGAAAGGUGACAGGGGACCUCCAUCAACCCUUCUGAUUCUGAUGUUCCAGAUGAAACUUGCAAGGAAAUGAGCGUGCAGU